AGUUGGAGAAUAAGUGCAAGUGAAGCUCUCAAGCACCCUUGGUUGUCAGACCACAAGCUCCACUCCAGACUCAACGCACAGAAGAAGAAGAAAUGCUACUCUGAUGCUCAGAACCCUGUGACCAAACAGUGUACAGAAGGCGCCCAUUGAAAGGAAAACUGCUGGGGUUGCUGCUGCUUGAGAAGAUGUUUGGAAAAAUCAGCAGUUCUGAUGUCUUGACCCCUAUGAUGAAUGGUGGCCUUGGGGAGGUGGGGGCCGCUGCAUUUGAACUCAGAGCACCCAGUCCCAGGGGACACUCCCAGUGCUUUGGUCCUGGGGGCACAGGCAAGACUCCCACCCCUUCCUCCCCUCCCUGCUCCUCAUGGUCCUGGGGGCACAGGCAAGCCUCCACCCCUUCUCCUCCUCCCCGCACUCCAUGGUCCUGGGGGCACAGGCAAUUCCCCUCUCUUUCCCCAUUUCCCCACAACCCAUGGUAGUCCACACUCGGCAAGAUGUUUCCCUGCCAUCUUGAGAUUUUUUUUACUUUAUUUUUAUUUCUUGAUUUUAGUCACUGGAGCAAGGGGUGCAUUAUUUCUGCUAUUUCUCAGUUUACUAGCACAGUCAUACUGGAGAUUUAUUUUGAAACCUAGAGGAUGCAUUUGGAGGGAGAAAACUGCUUCCAGUUAUUAAACUAUGCCUUUCAAAGGGGUGAUUGUAUCGCCAGAAAAAAUUCUAAGUCUGUGUGCCCUUGAACACUUAGUUUCUCACACGUUAUUAUUUUGAUUUGGUCUUGAAUCAGGUGAAUCUUGAGAAAUAAUUUGCUUUCUGGAACAUAAGCUUUCUUUGAAUUCUGAGGCAAGAGGCAGCAGGCCUUCUAUCUUCCAUUUGCUGUGCUUUCCCCCAAGUGCAUCAGUUUCUCCCAAGUAGCAGAUUCUCCUUCUAAUGAAUGACAUGCAUCUUCACAAGGCCCUCCCUGCUCUUUGCGGAUUGAACAUUCAUGUGUGAAAUAUGUCGGUUUUGAGGGGCAGUGCGAAAGGUAUCUGUUUAUUCUCAGUCUUUAAAAUCAAAACCUUUGGAAUACUGUUAGCCGUCCUGAGAGCUUUCCUGCUGUACUUGUCUGUGAGGAGAGAUGAUCUUGUGCAUCUUGACAAAGGACAGUGCUGUGCUUGCAAUGACGUGACUUGGGAAAUGUCACUCAAGUAAACGUGAAUGUUUCUGAAGACCCAUGCUACUACCUACGCAGUCUCGUGGAGCUCAGGGCUGUGAAGAAAGCUCAUUCAGAAAUCAAAGGUGGGGAGGGGACACCUCUGCUCCCUUUUUGGACAUGAGAAUCAUUUCCAGUUGGAAGCUUCUGCUUGUCCCUGAGCUGCUGUACCAUUUCAUUCAGAUACUAAAGAGGGAAAUGAACCCUACUGAGAUGGCACCGGACCUGUAAAGAGUGGCUUCUUUAUGAAGAGACAACGCAAAGCCACGCCUAACUCGUGUUACACGUACAACACCAAGCUCACCAUUCAGCUGUUUAAGCUUUCCUCAAUUUUUCAUUUCCAAAUAACUGCUCUGUUGAGAUCACCUGGAAUAAUGUCUUUAUUUUUAGCUGUAACUUGUUCUAGUCUCUUGUCACAAAAGCAAUGAAUUGAAGUAAGAAUAGCUUGGUGGUUGUAUUAGUGAGGGCACACUUAUCUUGCACUGAUUAGCUUUUCACCAUUAUUUCUCAUAUCCACCUAGCGAACUCUUUUAGGAUGCCCAUGAAUAGCUCCUACCUGUAUGCCCUUAUGUGUAAGAUAUAGAGAAAGUAGAGACAGAAGAGAUAUUUAAUUUAGUUAAGGCCACAUGCCAAUUUUGUGGUCAUACUAGCUAUAAAACUGACUCCUUUCUAGCCUCUGCUCUUACAUUAUGAUGCAUUUUUUUUCCUUUGGCCUGUGCAUUUAUCCAAGGCUGGUUUCUCUUGUUCCUGCUAUGUGACUAUGCUUAAAAUAUUUAACUUAGUUUCCUUAAAAAAAAAAAGUCCUGUGACUGAAGUGUUAUAUUACUGUGCUAUCUUUAGCUGAUGGUAUUCAUCGAGCCUGGAAAAAUACAAGCCUGUGCAUGCAUUAAUACUCAGACCACAGAGAGCUGGCAUUCACUCAAAUGCUAAAUAAGAUACAAUGGUCUGAUUUGAAAGCCCUCACGGAAGACUUUUUCUGUCCUGUGGUGUGUGUUCUCUACUGGAGAGAGCAGAGACCUUUUGCGUGAUGUGCAGUUUGCAACCAGUUCUUGUUCUGACUCACGUUGGCAGAUAAGCUUUCCCCAGUCCCCACUAUACAUAGAAGAGACAGGUUAGGCCAAAUAAAGGAAUUAUUUCUUCGCCAAAUUAGUCCACUGAUGACCCUGUAGUUAGUGGGUGUGAUUUUUUUCAAAAGAGGUUUAGAAAGGAGACUGUGCUUUGAAACUGGAUCUCCUUUGAAUCUGUAGUUAAAUUUCCACAUUUGGAUGGGGAGGCAUCCUCUAGCCAGCGGGGUACCUUUUUAUAUGAGAGCUGAGGAUAGCUUGCAUUGCAGAGUUGAUUAAUUACAGUCUAGAGUUACAUGAGAGGGGAGAAUUUCAGUUUCUUGCUCAUCCUGUCACCUCCCUCCACAGCCAUGUGAGGCUGCUCCAGUAAGAGCCCUAACUUGGUCAAUUGCCCCUCUGGUGGGAAAGGGGGCUUUGCACAGCAGAGGGGUCAACCAGCACGGACCCGAGAAGCUCAGUCUGGCUAGACUGGGGCUAUUGUGAUUGAAUUUUCCAAGAAGUCAUUAGGAUUUGAAAGCCUGUAUUUCUCUUGCACCCUCUUAAUGAACAUUAUAUGGCUUCGCUCACGUGCCUUAGGCAGUUGCCAUUCCUUUAGUAAACGGAGGAAAUGAAGCAGUGAUGUGGCGCUUCCCACUGCCUGGAGAGAAAUAAACCUCGUAAACAGGAAAAAGCAUACCCACAUUUGUAAUUUAUAAGACACCAACACUUACCCAGAAUCUGUUGCUAUUUCAAAAUCAGGGAGAAAGGGCUUAGGCCCGUCUGUAGCCCAGAAACCUCGGAAACAGAUUCUCACCUGAACUAUCUUGGAGAAAAGAUUUCUAUGUUGAAAUUGGGGAAUUCUCAUGGCUGUUGAAUACCAUAGGUUUGUUUUUAGUUGCUUUUUGUCUGACUUGAUACUAUUUUGCUUUCUUUCCUCAAAAAUGUAAAUAGGCAUGCUGCCAUUGUUGUGAAAUACUUUGAUGUGAAUGUGUUUUGAAAGAUGAAUACUUAUAUUUUCACAGAAAUUAAUAUAGCAAAAUUUUUCUUGUUUUAGAAUCAAAAUAUGGAUUUGAUAUUAGGGAAAUGAGAGUCUUGCCUAUGUUUCAUUUCUUUUCUAUCCCUCUUGCCCCUCUACCCCACGGCGGUCACUAGGCAAGAGCCGGUAUGCAUACAUGUUCUUGUUCAGUUGGACUAUAGGUUAGUUGAGGGAGCCUCACUUGGAAAAUUCAUUUGUGAAAGUGUAAUGAAAGGGAGAUGCAGGGCAGCUCCUUGGCUGUGGUCGGUAGGCUCAGUUCGGCUCUGCUCCCUGGCAAUUCCUUCAUGGGGAUAGGGUGCAUCACCACUGUGCCUCAGUUCUCACCAGCCACAAUACUCGCGACUUUACUUUAGCUCUGUUUUAUUUUAUUUUUACUUCUUUUUAUUUUUCUUAAGUGAAAGUCAAAGUCCAUUUUCUCAUCCAUCAUGAUGCUACCUUGAAAGCCUUUUUGGGAUGAAAAUUAUACUUCCCAAAGGCAAAUUGCUUUCUGUCCUAAAGGAAACUUGAUGCUGGACUUACUAGAUGUUCAAUUCCUAUAUUAAGAUUACUUCCUUGCUUAAGAUGAGUCUACAGUUUCUUAUACUGGAAGUGCUAUGUAUUUCUACAAGCUCCAUUUUAGUUGGGUGUAUUUUCCAUAAGCGGUCUUUGUCUGAGCAGUUUCACCUUCCAUGAAGGCUUAUAACUCAACUACUACUUAUUCAAAAGAGCAGAAACCAUCUGAAACAUUGAUUUAUAUGUAUUUUGUAGUUGUCUCAGCUGAUAGAUGUCAGUGAGUCCUUUUGAUGAGGUGUAUCUGUGUAGAUAAUAAAUAAAAAUGCAUUCAUAAUAUGGUGAUUGCAUAUAUCAUAUAUAUUUUUUAUUUCUGGACAUCAUUUCAUUCAGCUGCAUUUCUUUGCCUUAUAAAGAUGUCUAACAGUCAUAUAUAUGUCUUAUAUUGAAAAAUAAA
This is a long non-coding RNA of Hipposideros armiger (great roundleaf bat), 4208 nucleotides long. RefSeq lists it as uncharacterized. The record is from RefSeq and is a predicted model, not a curated record. The transcript has 3 exons. Lineage: Eukaryota; Metazoa; Chordata; Mammalia; Chiroptera; Hipposideridae.